CCACUGGAAGCAAUUGCUGCCAGAAGGUUGGAAGGAGCCACAACUCCGGGUCUGUCCCUGGGAGGUAACAGAACCAGGGAGAAGUUCCCAGGCAUGGUCUGACCGUGCUGGAACAAGAUCAAGACAGGGAAGUUGGAUUCCUCUGAGUGCAGGAUGCACAAUUGUUUCAGAAAGAACCUGGUCUAAAGUUAAAGCUACCAUAGACCAGUUCACUUGAAAUAUCAAAGUCCCUAAAAGAUGGCAGAAAUAUGAAGAGUGUAAGCAGAUCGAUUUCUGAAGGUCUAAUGAUAAGACUUUGCAAGAUGGGAAAAGCUGAGAAUGGACCCGAGGGCGAGCACAAAAGGAAAUGCAAUAUGGGGCUUCCAAAAGCAAUUGGUCAGGAGAGAAUUAUUACAAACCUGGGCCCUUCAUGGGAGACAGAAAUGACUGAAAUGACCUAGAGAUGACAGUGCCUG
Molecule: long non-coding RNA, 455 nt
Organism: Neopelma chrysocephalum (saffron-crested tyrant-manakin)
Lineage: Eukaryota; Metazoa; Chordata; Aves; Passeriformes; Pipridae
Exons: 4
Source: RefSeq, a predicted model, not a curated record